GAAGAUUCCACGGUUUAAUCACACUCCAGCUCUUUUCAGAGCACCUUCUACGUGCCAGGGAUGGCAGAUGCUUAAGUACAUGCAGGCUGUGAAGUGAGUUGUAAAUAAGAUAUUGUUAUUAGGACUAUCCCUGAUAAGAAAGGCAUGUCCUCUGCACCUCUAAUCCUGGGCCACUGCUAUGCAUCCCCACUUAGAUGACCGACUGCAGUCGCUCAGAGCAAUUGUAGAGGAUGGCAAGGAAUCAACCUAUUUGGAUGAAGACGUUUUGUGGGCGGGCAGAGAAGAAAACUCUUGAGAGAAGGAAGCAUUGCCAGGGGCAUGGGAGCCUACAACUGCUGGUGCCUCAGUCCCAUCUUUGACCAAUUCAUUCAACAAACAUUUAUCAAGGAAUGUCUUUGUGCCAGACCCCAUCCUAGGCAUGGGGCAUGCAAGAAGGACAGGUCCCUGUACCCAUGGAACCCCCGUGCAGGAAGCAAAACAGGAAAUGAACAAUUAAACAAAUACACAGUGUAAUUUCAGAUCAUACUAAAUGGUGGAAAAUAAAGUGUGUUGAUGUGAUAGCAAGGGACUGGGGACUAGGGAGCGUCCGGGAUUGCUGUCUGUUAGGAGAUCAUAUUUGAGUUGAGACUCGAAUGCAGAGAAGGAAUCUACUGAGCGAAAACUAGUGGAAGAAGCACUUCUGUUCAACAUAGCAGUGGAACUCCUAGU
This 708-nucleotide long non-coding RNA is filed under the name Homo sapiens (human). RNAcentral's name for it is "HSALNT0268055". Lineage: Eukaryota; Metazoa; Chordata; Mammalia; Primates; Hominidae. The record is from RNAcentral.